RNAcentral lists this unclassified non-coding RNA (433 nucleotides) under soil metagenome. Its description in RNAcentral is "partial contains 5.8S ribosomal RNA, internal transcribed spacer 2, and large subunit ribosomal RNA". The stretch from base 1 to 120 matches the Rfam family "5.8S ribosomal RNA", at positions 35 to 154 of the family's 154-position model. The record is from RNAcentral.
GAUGAAGAACGUAGCGAAAUGCGAUACGUAAUGUGAAUUGCAGAAUUCAGUGAAUCAUCGAAUCUUUGAACGCAUAUUGCGCUCUCUGGUAUUCCGGAGAGCAUGCUUGUUUGAGUUUCAGUAAACACCUCAACUUCCAUAUCUUUUUUGAAAUGGGAGUUGGACUUGAGUGAUCCCAACGCUUUUCCUCACCGAAAAGUGGCGGGUUACUUGAAAUGCAGGUGCAGCUGGACUUUUCUCUGAGCUAUAAGCAUAUCUAUUUAGUCUGCCUAAAAAACAGAUUAUUACCUUUGCUGCAGCUAACAUAAAGGAGAUUAGUUCUUGUGCUGACUGAUGCAGGAUUCACAAAGACAGGCUUCGGCCGACUUUGUAAACUCGAUCUCAAAUCAAGUAAGACUACCCGCUGAACUUAAGCAUAUCAAUAAGCGGAGGA